This 21214-nucleotide long non-coding RNA is filed under the name Triticum aestivum (bread wheat). RNAcentral's name for it is "long non-coding RNA (TAES_LNC000063)". Lineage: Eukaryota; Viridiplantae; Streptophyta; Magnoliopsida; Poales; Poaceae. The record is from RNAcentral.
GCCAAGAAUAGAUGGCUAACGACUCACCCGACAAAAAGGAAACCUAUAUAGUUCCAGCCAUUUAGUUACACCACCUCUACAACAAUCACAUUCAUUACAACUUGGCCACGAAAGCAAGAAACAAUCAACUAGCGAGGAAAAAAUUCUUUAUCUACAGCUUGCUUGCCAUUUCAUUUCAACACUAGCUAGUUCUACAACACUGGCACUGAGAACCAGAUCUUAAGCUUGUACAAAUCUUCAGCUUGCCAUUUACCAAAUUCGCACGGCAACAAUACCGGUCUCCAACAGUUCACCAACACCACCAGCCAAGAAAUAAAGCACAAACAACCACGCCAAGUAGACAACAAUAUCACUAGCCAGGCAUAUCAACAAACGGAGCACAAGUUGCCAUUUCCUCUAGUGCUUCCAAGUCUCCACUUAUGGGGGCCACGACACCGUCUUCGUCAAUCUCCAUGGCACCUACACCAAACAAUCGGCCAAGCUCUCAGCAGAGGAAGUCACCAAAUUAAGUAAAAACCUCAAUCUGGGUUAGGGUAGAUAAAUAGAUAGAAGUAAUAAAGGAAAAUACACACGCAACAGUUAAAAAGACACCAAGGUGUGGGUGUGGUAUCCUUGAUUAACAGCAAAAGAAAAAGCAUGAUAAUCUUUCUGCAAACAAGAAUGAGAUUCUAACAGCUCUUGACAUCAAAUGAGCUUUUAUAUUAGUGCCAUUUCUGAGCUUUCUAUAUGAAAGCCUUUUCUAGCUAUCAAGCUAUCAGUAAAAUAACAGUAGCUUCAGAACUAUGCAAAAACACUGACUGACCACGCAUGCAUCCGAAACUGACAAGUGAGCUAUGCAAACAAAAUCAGAUUGAAAAAAACUAAAAACAAAUUGAUCAUGUUCCGUCAGCAAAGACCGCUGCCAAAACUGAAUCUGUUCGUCUUCCCGCUCUAGAGCUUCUCUAAACAAGUAGUCUGCAGGUACAAAUGAAUGGAAGAGAGAAGGAAGAAAGGCUAGUCCUCUCUCAAUUGGUUCAUGAUGCAUACGACAAAACCAAGAUAUGUGCCGUGAGAUCAAGAACCCUCCACAAACGUCAUAAUGAACAUGCCCCAACAACCCUUCCUGGGACGAAUGAGAACUAUGCUCCUAAAGUAACAUGCAAGUGAUUUACUUGAUAAGUACACGUUAGAUUACCUAGCUAGAACGGAUCCAGAGGAACACCGAUUCAUUUAACUAGCUACCAACAAGCAUUACCGAGCCCAAUUGGGGCCAUCAAGAGACCAAACAGAAAAGCUAAGUAGUCAUUGCACACAGAGGCCAUGACCCAGAGCUAUACCAUGGCUCGAUGACCAUGUGCACAAAGCAAGGGCAAGAGCAGAGAAUGCCUUUAAAAUGUUUGUAGUCGAGGCAGAACCACGCCAUCAGGAUCAUUACCCUCUUGCUUAAGUAGUGUGUUUGUUCUUUCUACCACGUGGCUAUCCGUAACAGAGCCCUCUUGAAAACUUGAGGAGAAAAAAAUUGUGAUUUUAGUAAGGGGAGGUACAAAACUAAAAUAUAGAGAUGUGUGAAGAAAAAAAUCGACUACAAUAUUAUAGUCAAGUAAACAUGCCAAGGUAGGUAAGAUAGGACAAAGAACUUGUAGCCUUCUAGUAAUAUAGCUUCCACGUUCCAAAUGAGAAGAUGAUCGAUAUAAUGAACACCAUUUAGGUGCAAAUAGGCAAAGAAUAUCUGCUAUGAGAUGCAGUUUGAUGCCAGUAGUAGAUAAAGGAUGCCAAAAGGCACUAAUCAUGAUAAAGAUCAUGUUAGAGUAACAUUUGAUCUCAAGUAGUUGUAUUAUUUAACAGGAUGCAAAACACAAAUUGCAACCCUACAAUACAUAGCAGCAAUGCACAAUGUGCAAGAAUUUUGCCUUGUAGCAACAGCAGCAUAAAGUUAACUAUACAUACAUGACUCUGAUCAAUGGUCGCCCUUGUGCUUUUCUAUAUAUGGCCGACAAGCUAGUAGAGUGGGAGUUAUUUGGUUGUAUGAUCCUGAAGAAACAAAGGCGUGAUGAUCAUCUUCCUCUGCUUCAGUUAGCCAACCGAGGGAAUCAGGGAGGAUAAAUGUACGGCUUAAAACUAGACUCUGGCUGGGCAAACCCAGUUACAGAUGUGUGCAAGCUGCUGGAGCCGGAGCGCAGCUAUUAAAUUGGACAUGCAUGCAUUCAGUAAGUGAGUCGCCUCUGUUAGAAGAACUGCAACCUUGUAGCGAAAUUAUGAGCUGGUAUAUAUUAACCUGGUUGUUCAACUUGUAAACUGAAGAGGAACACAUACGAGCUUGACCAUGAUAGAGAUAGUCAAAAAAAUUAUAACAGCAAAGCCAAAACUACUAUAACAGAAGAUGCAAUAGCAAAGAAGAAGCAUGAAGUGCAACAGAGCAUUUCGCUGGGAAGUUGUGAUCUAACGAGCAGUGCUCCUAACUCUUCCGAAAAUCAGGUUCUACUGCUAGCAGGUUAAUGAAUGUGCUAUAAUUUCAUCAUCAUCCACAACAUAUCUUAGAAACGGGAAACCAGUGUAAACUAGCUAGAAUUUUUGUAUUGAGAAGAUCACGAGGUAAUCAAAAUCAAAGACCUAUGUAACUGAACAGUUCAAUACACAUGAUGCAAUGGAUACAUGAAGAAUUAUGAACUGCAACAGACCUUCAUUGGCAAAUUGACAAAUCAAGUCCAAACUGAUGCAACCAUUUGAUUUAAUAGGCAGUGCUCCACGCUCUUCCACAAAUCAAGUCCAACUUGAUAGUAAACAAAGAUGACUAAAUAUUAAGAAUCAAGAAAACCACUAGAUGUUCUUUAAGAAAAAAGAAGAUUUCGCUAAAAGAAAGGCAGAACAGAGACACAAGGAAUAUCAGCAGAAGGAUCAAAUGGGACAAUGGGCGGAGAGCGUUUUGAUCAAGUGAACUCGGAAUAUAGUUGGUGAAACAACAGAAUGGUUGUCAAGGAAAGAAGAUGCCAGUUGUGACAAACAAGAAAGAUGUAUAUACAAAGAAAACACUCCAUUGCAAAUUAGCGAUUACAACCAAGAAAAGUUAUGAAACCAGAAAAGCAGAUUGAACAAGAACGAAUGGUUUAUAGGUGCUCAGAAUCAACAGGUGUAUAGGAGUCGUUCAUGAGGAUAUCCCGUCAGUAUGAGGUAUGUUUUGUAACCAUUGCACAAUUGCAACCACCAGCAACAAGAAUAAAUCAUUUACCAAAUCACACGAGCUUAAAAAUAUUGAACUAGGAACAUGAGUUUCAAGUCUUGGGGCUGGAUAACACAACUCAAGUCAAUUAAAUAUGAGCUCCAAUGAUGACAUAUAAGAAGUUUCAAUGGAUCCAGGUAAGCAUUUGGUUCAAAUACAAAACAAACUUUACAGGAAAUAAACACAAAAAACAAUCAUCCAAUGAAGCCAGAAAAAGAAUGGUUUGUUGGUGCUCAGAUUCUAUGGGUGUAUAGGAGUCAUUCACAGGGUUCUCCUGUCAGUAUGAGGAAUGUUUUAUAAGCACUGCACCACAAAUGGUUCAACUCGCUAAAUCAAAAAUACCAGAAGAAUACUAGAUAGGAAAAACAUUAAAAAAUGUAAAAGAGCAGAGAUUAAACUGCAAUCUCGGAGCAGAGAUCCAUCUAGACAUAUUUUUGCUCCAAGCACCACCUGAGUUCUGAAAGUGACGCACACUGUUAAUAUGUUAUUAUCAGUAUUGUUUCAUCCUCACUGCGCUCAAACGCCACAAAUGAAGAAACAAGAACACAACAUAAGGGAAUAUUAUCGAGGAUGCAUCAGAUAUCCAACGUUAAAAGGGUGUGACAUCACAGAGACACCUCAGACGCAAAUUACACAUAAAACUUGUGUCUUCUCACCUGCAUCAAUAUUGCUCUUCCAAGAAACAGCAACAAGAACAAGGAAAGACUAAAUUCAAGAGAAACAAAGAAUGACAGAUAGGAAAAGAAUGACAGGACUUGCAGCACAGCCCAUGGCUAUCCAUUCCUGCAUCCACAUCCACAAACCCAACAGAUAAUUCAUUUUACUUGAGACUAAGCUCGGUUCUAAUUUCAAAGCUAAUAGCUUUGUGGUUUAAUUUUAAACUGAACUAAAUUAACUUCUCAGGAACUAACUAGGGACUAUGAUCAGGUUUGGUUUAGAUUUCAGGCUAUCGACCAUGCAAAUAAAACCAAUAGGGAAAUUAAUUACUCAAAAUAACCAUAUCUUGAACACAUGAAAUUACUGUACCAAGAACUAAGCUAGAAAACAAAGCCAAGAAGAAAACAACUUUUUUUUGUGGAAACGAGAGGAUGAUCAGAUUUGGUUCAGUAUUGAGGCCAUCAUAUCAGCCAAUCAAACCAAUAGGAAAAUUAACCUCAUCUCUCGUCUUUUCCUUUUUCGUAGUAGUCCGAGUUCAAGCUACUGUAGCAAUAUUUACUGUCCAUCUUUUUCAGCUCUGCUCCAGAAAAGAGAAAGGAUAAACCAAAUUUUUUUUAACACAACAGUGAGGGCGGCUGCAUCAGAUUUCCAAGGUUAGAAAGAAUGUGACAUCACAGAAAUGCCUCAGAUGGAAAUUACCAAUAAUCUAGGGUCUCGUCAUCUGCAUCCACUAUGCCCAUUUCAAUUAGAAAACAAAGUUUCUAUUUGAAUUGAUCUAACAUUGCUUGUUUGUUCUUAAACUGUACUAAAAUGAUCUUUGGUAGAAUUCUACAACAAACACCACAAUAUCUUUGAAACAGGGAAAAAAGGGCAGCCCGGUGCAUGUAGCUCCUGCUUGCGCAGGGUCUGGGGAAUGGUCCGACCACUUUGGGUCUAUAGUACGUAGCAUUUCCCUACAUUUCUGUAAGAGGUUGUUUUCGGGACUUGAACCCAUGACCUCAUGGUCGAUAAUCAGAUUAUGUUCAGUAUUUAGGCAAUCAAGUUGAUCAAUCAAACCAAUAGGAAAAUUAAUCAUCCGUCAUCUUAUCUCUGUCUAUUUAACUAGCAAAUAGAUCUAUUGAAUAAAUGAAUGUACCAUAUAAAUAGCAAAUCUAAUGAACAUGAUGAGGUGACCAAAAAUAGGUCGGCUUUUUUUGAUGAUCAUAUUUGGUUCAGUAUUUGGGCCAUCAUAUCGGCCAAUCGAAACAAUAGGAAAUUUAAUCUCAUUCAUCAUCUCAUCUCUCGCCAAUUAAAACCCAAAACAAAGGAUUUUUUUAACAAAAUUAGUAAGAACACGAAAGACAUGACUGAGGUGGAUGCAUCAGAUCUCCAAGGUGAAAAAGAGUGACAUCACAUAAAUGCCUCAGAUGCAAAUUAACCAUAAACUUGAGUCUUCUCAUCUGCAUCGACAACGCUCCUUUCAACAACAAAAAAGAAACUUACAAACACAUUAAAAGGAGAGACACUAGAUAAACCGGCGAAGUAUUCUUUCUACAAGAAAGCAAGAGAAACAGUAUGGGAUUUUAUCAGAUGGAACCAAUGCAUGAUUCAUUGGAAAUCAUAUCAUCCAUCAACAAUGCAAAUAUCCUCAUCUCACCCAAACGAAUCAAAAAUAGCAAGAAAAAACAAACAACGUGGAUAUUAUCAAGGAUGCAACAGAUCUCCAAGGUGAAAAUGGUCUGGCAUCACAGAGAAGCCUCAGACGCAAAUUACCCAUAAAAAUUAUGUCUCCUCAUCUACAUCAACAAUGCUCCUUGAAGAAACAACAUCAAGAACAAGAAUAAAAUAUAAAUUUCAGAUGCCAAGAUCCCAAAUAAAUAUCAAACCCUAACAAAUACCAUAUACAGUAGUAGUACAGGGAUCCUAAGUCGCACGGGCACCCCGCACGCGGAUGGAUGACCAUCUCCCGUAUAUAUAGACAAGAGAAGAGAAGAGAAGAGAUGACGACAUGGUGGGGUGCAGCAGCUGCGUGCGUGCUCAAAUGGCCAAAGACAAGCCCAUGCCCCGGACCCUUGCUCCCUCACUUGGCUGGUCAAUGGCUGUCUCAUGGGCAUCCCUAGGCAACGUUCAUAACCGAACCGGUCUCUUGCAAUUUAUCUCCUCCUUGUAAUCAGCCUCCACGAGCUCACCCAACCCAGCUUUGCCUCGAGACUCGAGAGAGAUAAUGGCUAGUGUUCGUUGUAAGCUGCAUGCAGGAGGCGAACCACCAGGCGGGGCAUUAGUUACAGAAGUUGAACUGAUCGAUCGAGCACCAGAUUAAUUGUACUAUGUUAUGUCACCCAAAGAGAUCCAACCACUGAAGAGAGGGAGGACGUAGUACAGAUGAGAUGGACGCCGCUAAGCAUGGUACGUCACAGCAAUAUAAUAUAAUGGCAUCGAUCGACGAGUGUGCUCGUGUGUGUUGGUUUGCUGCUGACUGGUUGGACAUUUGUGCUGGCCUUUUUGUUUGAUUUUGCUACUGAACAGAUGGCUGUAGUUUGCUUCAUGGAUCGGCCAGGCAGCCACCUGUUUCUUCUUUCAGUUGCAUAAUACAUCAUUUGGUUACUGCUGGCAAUAGCCACCUGUUCUCUUCUUUCUUUUGCAUGUAUAUAAUUUGGUUACUGCUGGCAACAAUUCUGUCGUCAAACUGAAGAAUUUUAUAUAUGCAUUAUGAUGAUGCCCGGGAAAUCUACAUUCACAAUAUGCAUAGCGAGCCGCGACCAAAUUCUUCUCGACUACUCCCUCUGUUCCUAAAUAUAACUCUUUGUAGAUAUUUCACUAUGGAGUGUAGAUUCAUUCAUUUUACUCCGUAUGUGGUCCACGGUGAAAUCCCUCCAAAAACUUAUAUUUAGAAACGGAGCUUUAGAUGCACUCCAUAAAAAGAAAGGUUGAUGAUAAACAAGAACAAAAUCUCUUAUGUUGCAAAAUAAAUCACGCAUGCAUGCCUCCUCCAAACAGACAAUUCAAGCCUUAUUUAGCACACCACUCUCAACCAUCGCAGCCAACAAAGACAACUCCGGUUCAAUUUCGCAGCCAACAAAGCACAAACAGCUUGCUCAUCUCGCCGUUUUAUCUAGCGCCAACAACACAAAGAAAGAUAUUUUGGUGCCAUUUACACCAGUCAACAACCAGCCAAGAAUAGAUGGCUAACGACUCACCCGACAAAAAGGAAACCUAUAUAGUUCCAACCAUUUAGUUACACCACCUCUACAACAAUCACAUUCAUUACAACUUGGCCACGAAAGCAAGAAACAAUCAACUAGCGAGGAAAAAAUUCUUUAUCUACAGCUUGCUUGCCAUUUCAUUUCAACACUAGCUAGUUCUACAACACUGGCACUGAGAACCAGAUCUUAAGCUUGUACAAAUCUUCAGCUUGCCAUUUACCAAAUUCGCAUGGCAACAAUACCGGUCUCCAACAGUUCGCCAACACCACCAGCCAAGAAAUAAAGCACAAACAACCACGCCAAGUAGACAACAAUAUCACUAGCCAGGCAUAUCAACAAACGGAGCACAAGUUGCCAUUUCCUCUAGUGCUUCCAAGUCUCCACUUAUGGGGGCCACGGCACCGUCUUCGUCAAUCUCCAUGGCACCUACACCAAACAAUCGGCCAAGCUCUUAGCAGAGGAAGUCACCAAAUUAAGUAAAAACCUCAAUCUGGGUUAGGGUAGAUAAAUAGAUAGAAGUAAUAAAGGAAAAUACAUACGCAGCAGUUAAAAAGACACCAAGGUGUGGGUGUGGUAUCCUUGAUUAACAGCAAAAGAAAAGGCAUGAUAAUCUUUCUACAAACAAGAAUGAGAUUCUAACAGCUCUUGACAUCAAAUGAGCUUUUAUAUUAGUGCCAUUUCUGAGCUUUCUAUAUGAAAGCCUUUUCUAGCUAUCAAGCUAUCAGUAAAAUAACAGUAGCUUCAGAACUAUGCAAAAACACUGACUGACCACGCAUGCAUCCGAAACUGACAAGUGAGCUAUGCAAACAAAACCAGAUUGAAAAAAACUAAACACAAAUUGAUCAUGUUCCGUCAGCAAAGACCGCUGCCAAAACUGAAUUUGUUCGUCUUCCCGCUCUAGAGCUUCUCUAAACAAGUAGUCUGCAGGUACAAAUGAAUGGAAGAGAGAAGGAAGAAAGGCUAGUCCUCUCUCAAUUGGUUCAUGAUGCAUACGACAAAACCAAGAUAUGUGCCAUGAGAUCAAGAACCCUCCACAAACGUCAUAAUGAACAUGCCCCAACAACCCUUCCUGGGACGAAUGAGAACUAUGCUCCUAAAGUAACAUGCAAGUGAUUUACUUGAUAAGUACACGUCAGAUUACCUAGCUAGAACGGAUCCAGAGGAACACCGAUCCAUUUAACUAGCUACCAACAAGCAUUACCGAGCCCAAUUUGGGCCAUCAAGAGACCAAACAGAAAAGCUAAGUAGUCAUUGCACACAGAGGCCAUGACCCAGAGCUAUACCAUGGCUCGAUGACCAUGUGCACAAAGCAAGGGCAAGAGCAGAGAAUGCCUUUAAAAUGUUUGUAGUCGAGGCAGAACCACGCCAUCAGGAUCAUUACCCUCUUGCUUAAGUAGUGUGUUUGUUCUUUCUACCACGUGGCUAUCCGUAACAGAGCCCUCUUGAAAACUUGAGGAGAAAAAAAUUGUGAUUUUAGUAAGGGGAAGUACAAAACUAAAAUAUAGAGAUGUGUGAAGAAAAAAAUCGACUACAAUAUUAUAGUCAAGUAAACAUGCCAAGGUAGGUUAGAUAGGACAAACAACUUGUAGCCUUCUAGUAAUAUAACUUCCACGUUCCAAAUGAGAAGAUGAUCGAUAUAAUGAACACCAUUUAGGUGCAAAUAGGCAAAGAAUAUCUGCUAUGAGAUGUAGUUUGAUGCCAGUAGUAGAUAAAGGAUGCCAAAAGGCACUAAUCAUGAUAAAGAUCAUGUUAGAGUAACAUUUGAUCUCAAGUAGUUGUAUUAUUUAACAGGAUGCAAAACACAAAUUGCAACCCUACAAUACAUAGCAGCAAUGCACAAUGUGCAAGAAUUUUGCCUUGUAGCAACAGCAGCAUAAAGGUAACUAUACAUACAUGACUCUGAUCAAUGGUCGCCCUUGUGCUUUUCUAUAUAUGGCCGACAAGCUAGUAGAGUGGGAGUUAUUUGGUUGUAUGAUCCUGAAGAAACAAAGGCGUGAUGAUCAUGUUCCUCUGCUUCAGUUAGCCAACCGAGGGAAUCAGGGAGGAUAAAUGUACGGCUUAAAACUAGACUCUGGCUGGGCAAACCCAGUUACAGAUGUGUGCAAGCUGCUGGAGCCGGAGCGCAACUAUUAAAUUGGACAUGCAUGCAUUCAGUAAGUGAGUCGCCUCUGUUAGAAGAACUGCAACCUUGUAGCGAAAUUAUGAGCUGGUAUAUAUUAACCUGGUUGUUCAACUUGUAAACUGAAGAGGAACACAUACGAGCUUGACCAUGAUAGAGAUAGUCGAAAAAAAAUUACAACAGCAAAGCCAAAACUAUUAUAACAGAAGAUGCAACAGCAAAGAAGAAGCAUGAAGUGCAACAGAGCAUUUCGCUGGGAAGUUGUGAUCUAACGAGCAGUGCUCCUAACUCUUCCGAAAAUCAGGUUCUACUGCUAGCAGGUUAAUGAAUGUGCUAUAAUUUCAUCAUCAUCCACAACAUAUCUUAGAAACGGGAAACCAGUGUAAACUAGCUAGAAUUUUUGUAUUGAGAAGAUCACGAGGUAAUCAAAAUCAAAAACCUAUGUAACUGAACAGUUCAAUACACAUGAUGCAAUGGAUACAUGAAGAAUUAUGAACUGCAACAGACCUUCAUUGGCAAAUUGACAAAUCAAGUCCAAACUGAUGCAACCAUUUGAUUUAAUAGGCAGUGCUCCACGCUCUUCCACAAAUCAAGUCCAACUUGAUAGUAAACAAAGAGGACUAAAUAUUAAGAAUCAAGAAAACCACCAGAUGUUCUUUAAGAAACUAAGAAGAUUUUGCUAAAAGAAAGGCAGAACAGAGACACAAGGAAUAUCAGCAGAAGGAUCAAAUGGUACAAUGGGCGGAGAGCGUUUUGAUCAAGUGAACUCGGAAUAUAGUUGGUGAAACAACAGAAUGGUUGUCAAGGAAAGAAGAUGCUAGUUGUGACAAACAAGAAAGAUGUAUAUACAAAGAAAACACUCCAUUGCAAAUUAGCGAUUACAACCAAGAAAAGUUAUGAAACCAGAAAAGCAGAUUGAACAAGAACGAAUGGUUUAUAGGUGCUCAGAAUCAACAGGUGUAUAGGAGUCAUUCAUGAGGAUAUCCCGUCAGUAUGAGGUAUGUUUUGUAACCAUUGCACAAUUGCAACCACCAGCAACAAGAAUAAAUCAUUUACCAAAUCACACGAGCUUAAAAAUAUUGAACUAGGAACACGAGUUUCAAGUCUUGGGGCCGGAUAACACAACUCAAGUCAAUUAAAUAUGAGCUCCAAUGAUGACAUAUAAGAAAUUACAAUGGACCCAGGUAAGCAUUUGGUUCAAACACAAAACAAAAUUUACAGGAAAUAAACACAAAAAACAAUCAUCCAAUGAAGCCAGAAAAAGAUGGUUUGUUGGUGCUCAGAUUCUAUGGGUGUAUAGGAGUCAUUCACAGGGUUCUCCUGUCAGUAUGAGGAAUGUUUUAUAAGCACUGCACCACAAAUGGUUCAACUCGCUAAAUCAAAAAUACCAGAAGAAUACUAGAUAGGAAAAACAUUAAAAAAUGUAAAAGAGCAGAGAUUAAACUGCAAUCUCGGAGCAGAGAUCCAUCUAGACAUAUUUUUGCUCCAAGCACCACCUGAGUUCUGAAAGUGACGCACACUGUUAAUAUGUUAUUAUCAGUAUUGUUUCAUCCUCACUGCGCUCAAACGCCACAAAUGAAGAAACAAGAACACAACAUAAGGGAAUAUUAUCGAGGAUGCAUCAGAUAUCCAACGUUAAAAGGGUGUGACAUCACAGAGACACCUCAGACGCAAAUUACACAUAAAACUUGUGUCUUCUCACCUGCAUCAAUAUUGCUCUUCCAAGAAACAGCAACAAGAACAAGGAAAGACUAAAUUCAAGAGAAACAAAGAAUGACGGAUAGGAAAAGAAUGACAGGACUUGCAGCACAGCCCAUGGCUAUCCAUUCCUGCAUCCACAUCCACAAACCCAACAGAUAAUUCAUUUUACUUGAGACUAAGCUCGGUUCUAAUUUCAAAGCUAAUAGCUUUGUGGUUUAAUUUUAAACUGAACUAAAUUAAUUUCUCAGGAACUAACUAGGGACUAUGAUCAGGUUCGGUUUAGAAUUCAGGCUAUCGACCAUGCAAAUAAAACCAAUAGGGAAAUUAAUUACACAAAAUAACCAUAUCUUGAACACAUGAAAUUACUGUACCAAGAACUAAGCUAGAAAACAAAGCCAAGAAGAAAACAACUUUUUUUUGUGGAAACGAGAGGAUGAUCAGAUUUGGUUCAGUAUUGAGGCCAUCAUAUCAGCCAAUCAAACCAAUAGGAAAAUUAACCUCAUCUCUCGUCUUUUCCUUUUUCGUAGUAGUCCGAGUUCAAGCUACUGUAGCAAUAUUUACUGUCCAUCUUUUUCAGCUCUGCUCCAGAAAAGAGAAAGGAUAAACCAAAAAAAAAUUUAACACAACAGUGAGGGCGGCUGCAUCAGAUUUCCAAGGUGAGCAAGAAUGUGACAUCACAGAAACGCCUCAGAUGGAAAUUACCAAUAAUCUAGGGUCUCGUCAUCUGCAUCCACUAUGCCCAUUUCAAUUAGAAAACAAAGUUUCUAUUUGAAUUGAUCUAACAUUGCUUGUUUGUUCUUAAACUGUACUAAAAUGAUCUUUGGUAGAAUUCUACAACAAACACCACAAUAUCUUUGAAAGAGGGAAAAAAGGGCAGCCCGGUGCAUGUAGCUCCUGCUUGCGCAGGGUCCGGGGAAUGGUCCGACCACUUUGGGUCUAUAGUACGUAGCAUUUCCCUACAUUUCUGUAAGAGGUUGUUUCCGGGACUUGAACCCAUGACCUCAUGGUCGAUAAUCAGAUUAUGUUCAGUAUUUAGGCAAUCAAGUUGAUCAAUCAAACCAACAGGAAAAUUAAUCAUCCGUCAUCUUACCUUUGUCUAUUUAACUAGCAAAUAGAUCUAUUGAAUAAAUGAAUGUACCAUAUAAAUAGCAAAUCUAAUGAACAUGAUGAGGUGACCAAAAACAGGUCGGCUUUUUUUGAUGAUCAUAUUUGGUUCAGUAUUUGGGCCAUCAUAUCGGCCAAUCAAAACAAUAGGAAAUUUAAUCUCAUUCAUCAUCUCAUCUCUCGCCAAUUAAAACCCAAAACAAAGGAUUUUUUUAACAAAAUUAGUAAGAACACGAAAGACAUGACUGAGGUGGAUGCAUCAGAUCUCCAAGGUGAAAAAGAGUGACAUCACAUAAAUGCCUCAGAUGCAAAUUAACCAUAAACUUGAGUCUUCUCAUCUGCAUCGACAACGCUAAUUUCAACAACAAAAAAGAAACUUACAAACACAUUAAAAGGAGAGACACUAGAUUAACCGGCGAAGUAUUCUUUCUACAAGAAAGAGAGAGAAACAGUAUGGGAUAUUAUCAGAUGGAACCAAUACAUGAUUCAUUGGAAAUCAUAUCAUCCAUCAACAAUGCAAAUAUCCUCAUCUCACCCAAACGAAUCAAAAAUAGUAAGAAAAAACAAACAACGUGGAUAUUAUCAAGGAUGCAACAGAUCUCCAAGGUGAAAAUGGUCUGGCUUCACAGAGAAGCCUCAGACGCAAAUUACCCAUAAAAAUUAUGUCUCCUCAUCUACAUCAACAAUGCUCCUUGAAGAAACAACAGCAAGAACAAGAAUGAAAUAUAAAUUUCAGAUGCCAAGAUCCCAAAUAAAUAUCAAACCCUAACAAAUACCAUAUACAAUAGUAGUACAGGGAUCCUAAGUCGCACGCGCACCCCGCACGCGGAUGGAUGACCAUCUCCCGUAUAUAUAGACAAGAGAAGAGAAGAGAAGAGAUGACGACAUGGUGGGGUGCAGCAGCCGCAUGCGUGCUCAAAUGGCCAAAGACAAGCCCAUGCCCCGGACCCUUGCUCCCUCACUUGGCUGGUCGAUGGCUGUCUCAUGGGCAUCCCUAGGCAACGUUGAUAACCGAACCGGUCUCUUGCAAUUUAUCUCCUCCUUGUAAUCAGCCUCCACGAGCUCACCCAACCCAGCUUUGCCUCGAGACUCGAGAGAGAUAAUGGCUAGUGUUCGUUGUAAGCUGCAUGCAGGAGGCGAACCACCAGGCGGGGCAUUAGUUACAGAAGUUGAACUGAUCGAUCGAGCACCAGAUUAAUUGUACUAUGUUAUGUCACCCAAAGAGAUCCAACCACCGAAGAGAGGGAGGACGUAGUACGAGAUGAGAUAGACGCCACUAAGCAUGGUACGUCACAGCAAUAUAAUAUAAUGGCAUCGAUCGACGAGUGUGCUCGUGUGUGUUGGUUUACUGCUGACUGGUUGGACAUUUGUGCUGGCCUUUUUGUUUGAUUUUGCUACUGAACAGAUGGCUGUGGUUUGCUUCAUGGAUCGGCCAGGCAGCCACCUGUUUCUUCUUCAGUUGCAUAAUACAUCAUUUGGUUACUGCUGGCAACAGCCACCAUUUCUCUUCUUUCUUUUGCAUGUAUAUAAUUUGGUUACUGCUGGCAACAAUUCUGUCGUCAAACUGAAGAACUUUAUAUAUGCAUGAUGAUGAUGCCUGGGCAAUCUACAUUCACAAUAUGCAUAGCGAGCCACGACCAAUUUCUUCUCGACUACUCCCUCCGUUCCUAAAUAUAACUCUUUGUAGAGAUUUCACUAUGGAGUGUAGAUUCAUUCAUUUUACUCCGUAUGUGGUCCAUGGUGAAAUCCCUCCAAAAACUUAUAUUUAGAAACGGAGCUUUAGAUGCACUCCAUAAAAAGAAAGGUUGAUGAUAAACAAGAACAAAAUCUCUUAUGUCGCAAAAUAAAUCAUGCAUGCAUGCCUCCUCCAAACAGACAAUUCAAGCCUUAUUUAGCACACCACUCUCAACCAUCGCAGCCAACAAAGACAACUCCGGUUCAAUUUCGCAGCCAACAAAGCACAAACAGCUUGCUCAUCUCGCCGUUUUAUCUAGCGCCAACAACACAAAGAAAGAUAUUUUGGUGCCAUUUACACCAGUCAACAGCCAGCCAAGAAUAGAUGGCUAACGACUCACCCGACAAAAAGGAGACCUAUAUAGUUCCAACCAUUUAGUUACACCACCUCUACAACAAUCACAUUCAUUACAACUUGGCCACGAAAGCAAGAAACAAUCAACUAGCGACGAAAAAAUUCUUCAUCUACAGCUUGCUUGCCAUUUCAUUUCAACACUAGCUAGUUCUACAACACUGGCACUGAGAACCAGAUCUUAAGCUUGUACAAAUCUUCAGCUUUCCAUUUACCAAAUUCGCACAGCAACAAUACCGGUCUCCAACAGUUCACCAACACCACCAGCCAAGAAAUAAAGCACAAACAACCACGCCAAGUAGACAACAAUAUCACUAGCCAGGCAUAUCAACAAACGGAGCACAAGUUGCCAUUUCCUCUAGUGCUUCCAAGUCUCCACUUAUGGGGGCCAUGGCACCAUCUUCGUCAAUCUCCAUGGCACCUACACCAAACAAUCGGCCAAGCUCUUAGCAGAGGAAGUCACCAAAUUAAGUAAAAACCUCAAUCUGGGUUAGGGUAGAUAAAUAGAUAGAAGUAAUAAAGGAAAAUACAUACGCAGCAGUUAAAAAGACACCAAGGUGUGGGUGUGGUAUCCUUGAUUAACAACAAAAGAAAAAGCAUGAUAAUCUUCCUGCAAACAAGAAUGAGAUUCUAACAGCUCUUGACAUCAAAUGAGCUUUUAUAUUAGUGCCAUUUCUGAGCUUUCUAUAUGAAAGCCUUUUCUAGCUAUCAAGCUAUCAGUAAAAUAACAGUAGCUUCAGAACUAUGCAAAAACACUAACUGACCACGCAUGCAUCCGAAACUGACAAGUGAGCUAUGCAAACAGAACCAGAUUGAAAAAAAACUAAAAACAAAUUGAUCAUGUUCCGUCUGCAAAGACCGCUGCCAAAACUGAAUCUGUUCGUCUUCCCGCUCUAGAGCUUCUCUAAACAAGUAGUCUGCAGGUACAAAUGAAGGGAAGAGAGAAGGAAGAAAGGCUAGUCCUCUCUCAAUUGGUUCAUGAUGCAUACGACAAAACCAAGAUAUGUGCCGUGAGAUCAAGAACCCUCCACAAACGUCAUAAUGAACAUGCCCCAACAACCCUUCCUGGGACGAAUGAGAACUAUGCUCCUAAAGUAACAUGCAAGUGAUUUACUUGAUAAGUACACGUCAGAUUACCUAGCUAGAACGGAUCCAGAGGAACACCGAUUCAUUUAACUAGCUACCAACAAGCAUUACCGAGCCCAAUUGGGGCCAUCAAGAGACCAAACAGAAAAGCUAAGUAGUCAUUGCACACAGAGGCCAUGACCCAGAGCUAUACCAUGGCUCGAUGACCAUGUCCACAAAGCAAGGGCAAGAGCAGAGAAUGCCUUUAAAAUGUUUGUAGUCGAGGCAGAACCACGCCAUCAGGAUAAUUACCCUCUUGCUUAAGUAGUGUGUUUGUUCUUUCUACCACGUGGCUAUCCGUAACAGAGCCCUCUUGAAAACUUGAGGAGAAAAAAAUUGUGAUUUUAGUAAGGGGAGGUACAAAACUAAAAUAUAGAGAUGUGUGAAGAAAAAAAUCGACUACAAUAUUAUAGUCAAGUAAACAUGCCAAGGUAGGUAAGAUAGGACAAAGAACUUGUAGCCUUCUAGUAAUAUAGCUUCCACGUUCCAAAUGAGAAGAUGAUCGAUAUAAUGAACACCAUUUAGGUGCAAAUAGGCAAAGAAUAUCUGCUAUGAGAUGCAGUUUGAUGCCAGUAGUAGAUAAAGGAUGCCAAAAGGCACUAAUCAUGAUAAAGAUCAUGUUAGAGUAACAUUUGAUCUCAAGUAGUUGUAUUAUUUAACAGGAUGCAAAACACAAAUUGCAACCCUACAAUACAUAGCAGCAAUGCACAAUGUGCAAGAAUUUUGCCUUGUAGCAACAACAGCAUAAAGGUAACUAUACAUACAUGACUCUGAUCAAUGUUCGCCCUUGUGCUUUUCUAUAUAUGGCCGACAAGCUAGUAGAGUGGGAGUUAUUUGGUUGUAUGAUCCAGAAGAAACAAAGGCGUGAUGAUCAUCUUCCUCUGCUUCAGUUAGCCAACCGAGGGAAUCAGGGAGGAUAAAUGUACGGCUUAAAACUAGACUCUGGCUGGGCAAACCCAGUUACAGAUGUGUGCAAGCUGCUGGAGCCGGAGCGCAGCUAUUAAAUUGGACAUGCAUGCAUUUAGUAAGUGAGUCCCCUCUGUUAGAAGAACUGCAACCUUGUAGCGAAAUUAUGAGCUGGUAUAUAUUAACCUGGUUGUUCAACUUGUAAACUGAAGAGGAACACAUACGAGCUUGACCAUGAUAGAGAUAGUCGAAAAAAAUUACAACAGCAAAGCCAAAACUACUAUAACAGAAGAUGCAACAGCAAAGAAGAAGCAUGAAGUGCAACAGAGCAUUUCGCUGGGAAGUUGUGAUCUAACGAGCAGUGCUCCAAACUCUUCCGAAAAUCAGGUUCUACUGCUAGCAGGUUAAUGAAUGUGCUAUAAUUUCAUCAUCAUCCACAACAUAUCUUAGAAACGGGAAACCAGUGUAAACUAGCUAGAAUUUUUGUAUUGAGAAGAUCACGAGGUAAUCAAAAUCAAAGACCUAUGUAACUGAACAGUUCAAUACACAUGAUGCAAUGGAUACAUGAAGAAUUAUGAACUUCAACAGACCUUCAUUGGCAAAUUGACAAAUCAAGUCCAAACUGAUGCAAUCAUUUGAUUUAAUAGGCAGUGCUCCACGCUCUUCCACAAAUCAAGUCCAACUUGAUAGUAAACAAAGAGGACUAAAUAUUAAGAAUCAAGAAAACCACCAGAUGUUCUUUAAGAAACUAAGAAGAUUUCGCUAACAGAAAGGCAGAACAGAGACACGAGGAAUAUCAGCAGAAGGAUUAAAUGGGAUAAUGGGCGGGGAGCGUUUUGAUCAAGUGAACUCGGAAUAUAGUUGGUGAAACAAUAGAAUGGUUGUCAAGGAAAGAAGAUGCCAGUUGUGACAAACAAGAAAGAUGUAUAUACAAAGAAAACACUCCAUUGCAAAUUAGCGAUUACAACCAAGAAAAGUUAUGAAACCAGAAAAGCAGAUUGAACAAGAACGAAUGGUUUAUAGGUGCUCAGAAUCAACAGGUGUAUAGGAGUCGUUCAUGAGGAUAUCCCAUCAGUAUGAGGUAUGUUUUGUAACCAUUGCACAAUUGCAACCACCAGCAACAAGAAUAAAUCAUUUACCAAAUCACACGAGCUUAAAAAUAUUGAACUAGGAACACGAGUUUCAAGUCUUGGGGCCGGAUAACACAACUCAAGUCAAUUAAAUAUGAGCUCCAAUGAUGACAUAUAAGAAAUUUCAAUGGAUCCAGGUAAGCAUUUGGUUCAAACACAAAACAAACUUUAUAGGAAAUAAACACAAAAAACAAUCAUCCAAUGAAGCUAGAAAAAGAAUGGUUUGUUGGUGCUCAGAUUCUAUGGGUGUAUAGGAGUCAUUCACAGGGUUCUCCUGUCAGUAUGAGGAAUGUUUUAUAAGCACUGCAUCACAAAUGGUUCAACUCGCUAAAUCAAAAAUACCAGAAGAAUACUAGAUAGGAAAAACAUUAAAAAAAUGUAAAAGAGCAGAGAUUAAACUGCAAUCUCGAAGCAGACAUCCAUCUAGACAUAUUUUUGCUCCAAGCACCAGCUGAGUUCUGAAAGUGAUGCACACUGUUAAUAUGUUAUUAUCAGUAUUGUUUCAUCCUCACUGCGCUCAAACGCCACAAAUGAAGAAACAAGAACACAACAUAAGGGAAUAUUAUCGAGGAUGCAUCAGAUAUCCAACCUUAAAAGGGUGUGACAUCACAGAGACACCUCAGACGCAAAUUACACAUAAAACUUGUGUCUUCUCACCUGCAUCAAUAUUGCUCUUCCAAGAAACAGCAAGAAGAACAAGGAAAAACUAAAUUCAAGAGAAACAAAGAAUGACGGAUAGGAAAAGAAUGACAGGACUUGCAGCACAACCCAUGGCUAUCCACUCCUGCAUCCACAUCCACAAACCCAACAGAUAAUUCAUUUUACUUGAGACUAAGCUCGGUUCUAAUUUCAAAGCUAAUAGCUUUGUGGUUUAAUUUUAAACUGAACUGAAUUAAUUUCUCAGGAACUAACUAGGGACUAUGAUCAGGUUCGGUUUAGAAUUCAGGCUAUCGACCAUGCAAAUAAAACCAAUAGGGAAAUUAAUUAUUCAAAAUAACCAUCUCUUGAACACAUGAAAUUACUCUACCAAGAACUAAGCUAGAAAACAAAGCCAAGAAGAAAACAACUUUUUUUUGUGGAAACGAGAGGAUGAUCAGAUUCGGUUCAGUAUUAAGGCCAUCAUAUCAGCCAAUCAGGAAAAUUAACCUCAUCUCUCGUCUUUUCCUUUUUCGUAGUAGUCCGAGUUCAAGCUACUGUAGCAAUAUUUACUGUCCAUCUUUUUCAGUUCUGCUCCAGAAAGGAGAAAGGAUAAACCAAAAAAAAAAUUAACACAACAGUGAGGGCGGCUGCAUCAGAUCUCCAAGGUGAGAAAGAAUGUGACAUCACAGAAAUGCCUCAGAUGGAAAUUACCAAUAAUCUAGGGUCUCGUCAUCUGCAUCCACUAUGCCCAUUUCAAUUAGAAAACAAAGUUUCUAUUUGAAUUGAUCUAACAUUGCUUGUUUGUUGUUAAACUGUACUAAAAUGAUCUUUGGUAGAAUUCUGCAACAAACACCACAAUAUCUUUGAAACAGGGAAAAAAGGGCAGCCCGGUGCAUGUAGCUCCUGCUUGCGCAGGGUCCGGGGAAUGGUCCGACCACUUUGGGUCUAUAGUACGUAGCAUUUCCCUACAUUUCUGUAAGAGGUUGUUUCCGGGACUUGAACCCAUGACCUCAUGGUCGAUAAUCAGAUUAUGUUCAGUAUUUAGGCAAUCAAGUUGAUCAAUCAAACCAAUAGGAAAAUUAAUCAUCCGUCAUCUUAUCUCUGUCUAUUUAACUAGCAAAUAGAUCUAUUGAAUAAAUGUAUGUACCAUACAAAUAGCAAAUCUAAUGAACAUGAUGAGGUGACCAAAAACAGGUCGGCUUUUUUUGAUGAUCAUAUUUGGUUCAGUAUUUGGGCCAUCAUAUCGGCCAAUCGAAACAAUAGGAAAUUUAAUCUCAUUCAUCAUCUCAUCUCUCGCCAAUUAAAACCCAAAACAAAGGAUUUUUUUAACAAAAUUAGUAAGAACACGAAAUACAUGACUCAGGUGGAUGCAUCAGAUCUCCAAGGUGAAAAAGAGUGACAUCACAUAAAUGCCUCAGAUGCAAAUUAACCAUAACCUUGAGUCUCCUCAUCUGCAUCGACAACGCUCCUUUCAACAACAAAAAAGAAACUUACAAACACAUUAAAAGGAGAGACACUAGAUAAACCGGCGAAGUAUUCUUUCUACAAGAAAGAGAGAGAAACAGUAUGGGAUAUUAUCAGAUGGAACCAAUACAUGAUUCAUUGGAAAUCAUAUCAUCCAUCAACAAUGCAAAUAUCCUCAUCUCACCCAAACGAAUCAAAAAUAGCAAGAAAAAACAAACAACGUGGAUAUUAUCAAGGAUGCAACAGAUCUCCAAGGUGAAAAUGGUCUGGCAUCACAGAGAAGCCUCAGAUGCAAAUUACCCAUAAAAAUUAUGUCUCCUCAUCUACAUCAACAAUGCUCCUUGAAGAAACAACAGCAAGAACAAGAAUGAAAUAUUAAUUUCAGAUGCCAAGAUCCCAAAUAAAUAUCAAACCCUAACAAAUACCAUAUACAGUAGUAGUACAGGGAUCCUAAGUCGCACGCGCACCCUGCACGCGGAUGGAUGACCAUCUCCCGUAUAUAUAGACAAGAGAAGAGAAGAGAAGAGAUGACGGCAUGGUGGGGUGCAGCAGCCGCGUGCGUGCUCAAAUGGCCAAAGACAAGCCCAUGCCCCCGGACCCUUGCUCCCUCACUUGGCUGGUCGAUGGCUGUCUCAUGGGCAUCCCUUGGCAACGUUGAUAACUGAACCGGUCUCUUGCAAUUUAUCUCCUCCUUGUAAUCAGCCUCCGCGAGCUCACCCAACCCAGCUUUGCCUCAAGACUCGAGAGAGAUAAUGGCUAGUAGUGUUCACUGUAAGCUGCAUGCAGGAGGCGAACCACCAGGCGGGGCAUUAGUUACAGAAGUUGAAUUGAUCGAUCGAGCACCAGAUUAAUUGUACUAUGUUAUGUCACCAAAGGAUCCAACCACUAAAGAGAGGAGGACGUAGUACGAGAUGAGAUGGACGCCGCUAAGCAUGGUACGUCACAGCAAUAUAAUAUAAUGGCAUCGAUCGACGAGUGUGCUCGUGUGUGUUGGUUUGCUGCUGACUGGUUGGACAUUUGUGCUGGCCUUUUUGUUUGAUUUUGCUACUGAACAGAUGGCUGUGGUUUGCUUCAUGGAUCGGCCAGGCAGCCACCUGUUUCUUCUUUCAGUUGCAUAAUAUAUCAUUUGGUUACUGCUCGCAACAGCCUCUUCUUUCUUUUGCAUAUAUUGUAUAUAAUUUGGUUACUGCUGGCAACAAUUCUGUCGUCAAACUGAAGAACUUUAUAUAUGCAUGAUGAUGAUGCCUGGGCAAUCUACAUUCACAAUAUGCAUAGCGAGCCACGACCAAUUUCUUCUCGACUACUCCCUCCGUUCCUAAAUACAAGUCUUUGUAGAGAUUUCACUAUGGACUGUAGAUUCAUUCAUUUUAUUCCGUACGUGGUCCCGAUAGUGAAAUCCCUCCAAAAACUUAUAUUUAGGAACGGAGGCAGUACUAGUUUACAUGCACUCCAUAAAAAGAAAGGUUGAUGAUAAACAAGAACAUCUCUUAUGUUGCAAAAUAAAUCACGCAUGCAUGCCUCCUCCAAACACACAAUUCAAGCCUUAUUUAGCACACCACUCUCAACCAUCGCAGCCAACAAACACUAGUCCGGUUCAAUUUCACAGCCAACAAAGCACAAACAGCUUGCUCUUCUCGCCGUUUUAUCUAGCGCCAACAACACAAAGAAAGAUAUUUUGGUGCCAUUUACACCAGUCAACAGCUAGCCAAGAAUAGAUGGCUAACGACUCACCCGACAAAAAGGAAACAUAUAUAGUUCCAACCAUUUAGUUACACCACCUCUACAACAAUCACAUUCAUUACAACAUGGCCACGAAAGCAAGAAUAAAUCAACUAGCGAGAAAAAAAUUCUUCAUCUACAGCUUGCUUGCCAUUUCAUUUCAGCACUAGCUAGUUCUACAACACU